GACGAACGCUGGCGGCGUGCUUAACACAUGCAAGUCGAACGGAAAGGCCCUGCUUUUGUGGGGUGCUCGAGCGGCGAACGGGUGAGUAACACGUGAGUAACCUGCCCUUGACUUUGGGAUAACUUCAGGAAACUGGGGCUAAUACCGGAUAGGAGCUCCUGCUGCAUGGUGGGGGUUGGAAAGUUUCGGCGGUUGGGGAUGGACUCGCGGCUUAUCAGCUUGUUGGUGGGGUAGUGGCUUACCAAGGCUUUGACGGGUAGCCGGCCUGAGAGGGUGACCGGCCACAUUGGGACUGAGAUACGGCCCAGACUCCUACGGGAGGCAGCAGUGGGGAAUAUUGCACAACGGGCGGAAGCCUGAUGCAGCAACGCCGCGUGCGGGAUGACGGCCUUCGGGUUGUAAACCGCUUUCGCCUGUGACGAAGCGUGAGUGACGGUAAUGGGUAAAGAAGCACCGGCUAACUACGUG
This 468-nucleotide ribosomal RNA is filed under the name uncultured bacterium. Its description in RNAcentral is "partial 16S ribosomal RNA". It matches the Rfam family "Bacterial small subunit ribosomal RNA", at positions 28 to 507 of the family's 1533-position model. The record is from RNAcentral.